GGGCAACCCAUUUUUCUCACCCAGUUCAUCUAUCAAACUGACUAAUCAUGGUACAUUCUGGUGAUGUUUUAUAAAGUUAAAAUGAGAUCACCGGCACCCAACUCUACCAUACGUUGGUGUCAUGUGAUAGUAACCUGAGACUUUAGAUCCUAAGGGUGGUCAGGGGUCACAUCUUAUGCCAAUGCUUAAGACCAGUGAUGAAUCUAGAGGGUGGUCAAAGGUCACCACGCCCCCCA
Molecule: long non-coding RNA, 236 nt
Organism: Populus euphratica (Euphrates poplar)
Lineage: Eukaryota; Viridiplantae; Streptophyta; Magnoliopsida; Malpighiales; Salicaceae
Exons: 2
Source: RefSeq, a predicted model, not a curated record